UCCCUGGUGGUCCAGCGGUUAAGACUCUGAGCUCGCAAUGCAGGGGGCCCAGGUUCAAACCCUGGUCAGGGAA
This is a non-coding RNA of Lipotes vexillifer (Yangtze River dolphin), 73 nucleotides long. Lineage: Eukaryota; Metazoa; Chordata; Mammalia; Artiodactyla; Lipotidae. The record is from the annotation of a RefSeq genome assembly.